GGCACUAGGUGUGGGGUCUGUUUCCACGGAUUCCGCGCCGUAGCUAACGCAUUAAGUGCCCCGCCUGGGGAGUACGGCCGCAAGGCUAAAACUCAAAGGAAUUGACGGGGGCCCGCACAAGCGGCGGAGCAUGCGGAUUAAUUCGAUGCAACGCGAAGAACCUUACCAAGGCUUGACAUACUUGAGAAGCCACCAGAGAUGGUGGUCUCUUUGGACACUCAUGUACAGGUGGUGCAUGGUUGUCGUCAGCUCGUGUCGUGAGAUGUUGGGUUAAGUCCCGCAACGAGCGCAACCCUCGUUCUAUGUUGCCAGCACGUUAUGGUGGGAACUCAUAGGAGACUGCCGGGGUCAACUCGGAGGAAGGUGGGGAUGACGUCAAAUCAUCAUGCCCCUUAUGUCUUGGGCUUCACGCAUGCUACAAUGGCCGGUACAAAGGGCUGCGAUACCGUAAGGUGGAGCGAAUCCCAAAAAGCCGGUCUCAGUUCGGAUUGAGGUCUGCAACUCGACCUCAUGAAGUCGGAGUCGCUAGUAAUCGCAGAUCAGCAACGCUGCGGUGAAUACGUUCCCGGGCCUUGUACACACCGCCCGUCAAGUCAUGAAAGUCGGUAACACCCGAAGCCAGUGGCCUAACCCUUGUGGAUGGAGCUGUCGAAGGUGGGA
This 660-nucleotide ribosomal RNA is filed under the name uncultured Beutenbergiaceae bacterium. RNAcentral's name for it is "bacterial SSU rRNA". It matches the Rfam family "Bacterial small subunit ribosomal RNA", at positions 812 to 1467 of the family's 1533-position model. Lineage: Bacteria; Bacillati; Actinomycetota; Actinomycetes; Micrococcales; Beutenbergiaceae. The record is from RNAcentral.